AACCACCUGAUCCCUUCCCGAACUCAGAAGUGAAACGACGCAUCGCCGAUGGUAGUGUGGGGUCUCCCCAUGUGAGAGUAGGUCAUCGUC
RNAcentral lists this ribosomal RNA (90 nucleotides) under Pseudomonas sp. T2.1D-1.1. Lineage: Bacteria; Pseudomonadati; Pseudomonadota; Gammaproteobacteria; Pseudomonadales; Pseudomonadaceae. The record is from RNAcentral.